AGUAGCAGGAGUCCGACGACACUCCGGAACAUCCCGUGAGUCGCGAAGCCAGGGCUUGCUGCACUGCAGGGCGAAACCUCAAGGGAGAAAAUACAGGAGCUGAAAAAUGAUCGGCUCAAGACACCGAACGAUCCCGGAGUGCAGGGUGACGUCACUGUCUUCAAAAUCCGCUGCUGACUGAACGUCAAAGCAAAAAGCAGGGAUGUGAAUCUGAACUGACUGCACUCCUCAUGAAAAGAUAAAGACAGCUGAGCGAAACGGAAAGCUGAUGGAGGAAAAAGCGGGAGUUGACCAAUAAACGAGUAUGGCAAAGGCCUCAGCGAGGAGGAUACUGUGAGGAGAACCUAUGGUUGAUCAUCUGAAGCUGAAGAUUCACGUGUGAGAGGGGAAAAUAAUAAGGAUAAAAAGAUCUGGGAAAUCUUUACCCGGGAUCCUGCGCACAAGCUCGACGUCUGUUGGACUGCUCUAUUUCCACCUGUAAAUGGAUAUUCAGCAAGUUGAUUUACUUUAUAGGAGCAAGAUAACAGUGUCAGGUAUUUGCAAUAUUUGUCUGCACUUGUUGAGCUUUUUAAUAAAUCAUCUGGACUUGUGUUUAUGCCACAUAUACAACGUGUGAGCUUUAAACUGCGUGAGACAUCAGAGAAUGUGAAAAUGAUGGUGUAUUAAGAGCUAGGACUAAGAAAAUAAAACACUUUUGCAGGUAAAAUCAUCAUAGAUGAAAACAUUAACCUGAAAUGUGCAGACGAGACGCACGUGAGCGCUUGGUGUUGAGUUUUAAUAAUCGGCACAGAAGUGAAUAUUAUAUGAAACGUUACUUGUUCUAAUUAAAUAAUAACAUAUAUGUAGACUGGAAUGCGUUUGUUGUGACUCUGGUAAUAAGAACGCGUGCGUAAAACGAGCGCAAGAGACGUCUGCAGAAGUGUGUGUAGAAAUAUAUGAACAUUACAGGUGCCAGUUUUUUUAGGCUUGUGCUUUUUAUAAUUGUGUGGUCUGCAUAUUUAUGGCGUCCUAAGAGUUUGUUUAGAGUGUUGAUUUAAGCUUUAAGGGUUGAACGGAGGGUUUGUUCUGUCAUGCGUUCGCUGUCCAGUGCACGUGGUGCUGAAACGCGCUGCAGCUGCUGACGUACCACACGUGGCCUACAUGAGCUUAGACGUAAAGAUUAUGCUUUUUAAACUUAUUCUUUCGCUAGAUGUGUUUAUUUUAUUGUGUGAUUAUUUGAUACACUGCAUUAGUAGCUUUAGGACGCAUUUGGAGUCUAAUAAAUGUGAAACAUUAGUCCUACUGGGGUCAAAGGGGUACAGGAAAAGGAAGGAGCAUGUUUGAAAUUAAACAACGACAAAUGUAGAUUGAGUUAGCGUUGGGAUUUCUGAUGUAGAUCAAUGAGCAUCGAAGACUGACAGCUGGAAUGUGUAAUGCGCUACUUGAGAGAGUGAGACGAUACGUGUGUAUGUGUGAGUGUGUGUGAGGGAGAG
Molecule: long non-coding RNA, 1472 nt
Organism: Danio rerio (zebrafish)
Lineage: Eukaryota; Metazoa; Chordata; Actinopteri; Cypriniformes; Danionidae
Source: RefSeq, marked validated